RNAcentral lists this ribosomal RNA (311 nucleotides) under uncultured bacterium. RNAcentral describes it as "bacterial SSU rRNA". It matches the Rfam family "Bacterial small subunit ribosomal RNA", at positions 28 to 334 of the family's 1533-position model. The record is from RNAcentral.
GACGAACGCUGGCGGCGUGCCUAACACAUGCAAGUCGAGCGGGGACUUGGGAGCUUGCUUCCAAGUUCUAGCGGCGGACGGGUGAGUAACGCGUGAGCAACCUGCCUCAAACAGGGGGAUAACGCAUCGAAAGAUGUGCUAAUACCGCGUAAGACCACAGUGCCACAUGGCACAGGGGUCAAAGGAGCAAUCCGGUUUGAGAUGGGCUCGCGUCCGAUUAGCUAGUUGGUGAGAUAACGGCCCACCAAGGCGACGAUCGGUAGCCGACCUGAGAGGGUGAUCGGCCACAUUGGGACUGAGACACGGCCCAA